UGGUCCGAGAAGGCCCGGCCCAAAGUAAUCCAUAGCAGUCAAAGGCCAAGUCUUUGCAGUGGCGGAUGCUGCCUUAUGAAACAGAUUCACCUCAGAAUUACCAGAAGGACUACUGCUGGUGGUCAGAGGAGCGGUGGUCGUAGUAGUAGUAGUGUUGCCAAUCCCACCCGUUAAAAGCUCAGUGAAGGUUGAGUUCUGAGACAUUGUGUUGCUGAGAUGAUUCUGGUGGUGUACGUUGGAAUCUUUCUCUUUCUCCUUGGCUGCAGCUUUCUCCCUUGCUCUAUCCCUGGCCUUAACGCGACUAACCCUCACGUCGGACCUCGAGAGUGACAAGCCAGAACCUUUACUCGUCUCCGAGUUGCAACUGCAAGCUGAUU
RNAcentral lists this long non-coding RNA (377 nucleotides) under Linum usitatissimum (flax). RNAcentral describes it as "long non-coding RNA (LUSI_LNC001344)". The record is from RNAcentral. Lineage: Eukaryota; Viridiplantae; Streptophyta; Magnoliopsida; Malpighiales; Linaceae.